RNAcentral lists this long non-coding RNA (470 nucleotides) under Ananas comosus (pineapple). RNAcentral's name for it is "long non-coding RNA (ACOM_LNC033622)". Lineage: Eukaryota; Viridiplantae; Streptophyta; Magnoliopsida; Poales; Bromeliaceae. The record is from RNAcentral.
UUUGAGCUUGUUUGAUCUAGUCAGAAUUUUUUGUAUACUGCUAUUUUGCUAGAGUUGUUUAAAGAAAAUUAUUAUAAUUUCUUUUAUAAAAGUAUACAAAACUUAUCUGAACUAUAGACGAUCUUGAUUUGGUUGUCCAACCGUUAAAAAUUUUGAUUUUAUUGUCCAAUCUUUCAAAUUGUUUAAUUUGAGUCGGUCAACAACAUUUUUUCUUCAAAAUUUAAAUAUUUUAUUUAUCUUUACUCACACUUUUUAUAAUUUUCGCAACUGUAAAUUCAUCAAAGUAAGUAAUUAACUUAAAUUUUUUGAAGUGAAAAUGUUGUUGACUUACUCAAAUUAAACAAAUUAAAAGUUUGGAUAGUAAAAUUAAAUUUUUAAAAUUUUGAAUAGCUAAUUCAAAAUGAUCUAUAAUUCAGAUAAAUUUUGUAUAUUUUUAUCUUUUUUUUAAAUUAAAUUCUCCUCAACAACUU